GAUGAACGCUAGCGGCAGGCCUAACACAUGCAAGUCGAGGGAGAAGCCCUUUCGGGGGCAGAAACCGGCGCACGGGUGCGUAACGCGUAUGCAACCUACCUUUCACAGGGGGAUAGCCCGAAGAAAUUUGGAUUAAUACCCCAUAAUAUUAUUGGAUGGCAUCGUUUGAUAAUUAAAACUGCGGUGGUGAAAGAUGGGCAUGCGUCCUAUUAGCUAGUUGGAGUGGUAACGGCACCCCAAGGCUACGAUAGGUAGGGGUCCUGAGAGGGAGAUCCCCCACACUGGUACUGAGACAGGGACCAGACUCCUACGGGGGGCAGCAGUGAGGAAUAUUGGUCAAUGGUCGGAAGACUGAACCAGCCAUGCCGCGUGCAGGAAGAAUGCCUUAUGGGUUGUAAACUGCUUUUAUAUGGGAAGAAUAAGGCGUACGUGUACGUUGAUGACGGUACCAUAUGAAUAAGCAUCGGCUAACUCCGUGCCAGCAGCCGCGGUAAUACGGAGGAUGCGAGCGUUAUUCGGAAUCAUUGGGUUUAAAGGGUCUGUAGGCGGGCUAUUAAGUCAGGGGUGAAAGGUUUCAGCUUAACUGAGAAAUUGCCUUUGAUACUGGUAGUCUUGAAUAUCUGUGAAGUUCUUGGAAUGUGUAGUGUAGCGGUGAAAUGCUUAGAUAUUACACAGAACACCGAUUGCGAAGGCAGGGGACUAACAGACAAUUGACGCUGAGAGACGAAAGCGUGGGGAGCGAACAGG
RNAcentral lists this ribosomal RNA (747 nucleotides) under uncultured Capnocytophaga sp. RNAcentral describes it as "bacterial SSU rRNA". It matches the Rfam family "Bacterial small subunit ribosomal RNA", at positions 28 to 776 of the family's 1533-position model. Lineage: Bacteria; Pseudomonadati; Bacteroidota; Flavobacteriia; Flavobacteriales; Flavobacteriaceae. The record is from RNAcentral.